UCAGACUUCAGAGACCGCUUAAUCCAAAUAUUUUUCUUUUUUUUAUUUAUUUAGAUUCAGUAAUCACCUUUUAAUAUCUUCCUCUAAGUUUAACUUUAGCCUCCGUUUGGUUCGGGGUUAAGGAAAAAGUAGCUAUUCUAAGGAUAGAGUUAAGUUCAGGGUUAAAAUGGGGUUAAAGUUUUUUUGUGUUUGGUUGGGGGUUGGAGUUAAUCUAGAAUAAUAAAAAAUAGUGUUUGGUUGGAGUAGGUGGGAUAAGAAGAUAAUGAUUGAUAAAGAAGGAUAAUGAUUGGUUGGAGUAUGUGGGAUAAGAAAGAUAGUGGGUUAUUAUGAAUAGAAAAUAGUGUUUGAUUGGAGUUUGGUGGAGUUAGGUUGGGUUAGCUAACCCGGAAUAAUUUAUUUGAAGUGGGGUUAGGUGGGGUUAGCUAACCCCACCUAUUUUUUGAGAUGUUUGGGGAUAAUAUGGGGGUUAAGGGGUUAUUCCACCCCUUAACCCCCAACCAAAC
This 503-nucleotide long non-coding RNA is filed under the name Ananas comosus (pineapple). RNAcentral's name for it is "long non-coding RNA (ACOM_LNC008087)". The record is from RNAcentral. Lineage: Eukaryota; Viridiplantae; Streptophyta; Magnoliopsida; Poales; Bromeliaceae.